GCCGGCGUGGCGCAAUUGGCAGCGCAUCCGACUUGUAAUCGGAAGGUUAGGGGUUCGAUUCCCCUCGCCGGCUCGA
This 76-nucleotide transfer RNA is filed under the name Acidothermus cellulolyticus 11B. RNAcentral's name for it is "tRNA-Thr-TGT-1-1". It matches the Rfam family "tRNA". Rfam says of the family: Transfer RNA (tRNA) molecules are approximately 80 nucleotides in length. Their secondary structure includes four short double-helical elements and three loops (D, anti-codon, and T loops). Further hydrogen bonds mediate the characteristic L-shaped molecular structure. tRNAs have two regions of fundamental functional importance: the anti-codon, which is responsible for specific mRNA codon recognition, and the 3' end, to which the tRNAs corresponding amino acid is attached (by aminoacyl-tRNA synthetases). tRNAs cope with the degeneracy of the genetic code in two manners: having more than one tRNA (with a specific anti-codon) for a particular amino acid; and 'wobble' base-pairing, i.e. permitting non-standard base-pairing at the 3rd anti-codon position. Lineage: Bacteria; Bacillati; Actinomycetota; Actinomycetes; Acidothermales; Acidothermaceae. The record is from RNAcentral.